UAUAUAUAUAUAUAUAUAUAUAUAUAUAUAUAUAUUGCUUUUACUAGUUCUAAAGACAUUUUGAAUAACAUAAAUUACUGUUAAAUAACAAUCAAUAUUAAAAUCAUGUUUUUGAGUAUUAUUAUUAUGCUUUUAUGUUGUAAAAUAUUGGUUCAUCAAACACCAUACACUGACAUUUUUUGUUCUGUACCAUUUCAGUACAUUUAAAUAAUCAAAAUCAAUGACAUUUUGAUUGUUAUCGACAAAUGAAGGCACAUAGACUAGCACACAAUCCUGUAAUAUAGUGACAAAAGUGUUAUUACUUUAUAUAAAAUAAACUAAAAGUAUUACUAUAGCACCGGCUGUUUCCAUUUAUAUUUUUAAAAUUUUUUUUAUUUUUUUAAAUGAAAACUUGUUCCCGUAAUAGCUGAAAGAACAUACACACAAAAUGUAUUCCACUGAGUCAAACCGGCCAUUUCACAAUGUGCUAUCGAGUUCAGUUGCACUCUUAACUACUCUCUUUAAACACUGCCAGGCAUCCAGACCUCAGUGCAAGACUUGAGAAUCACAGCUUCCUGAAUGGGGAAUUUCACAAGCCUCCAAAGUGAAACCAUAGAGAAUAAUGGGCUUGUAAGAGUCAUCUCAAGCAGCAGCCUCAGCACACACUGCAAACAAACACCGACGAGAGUGUUACACCUGGCACAUCCCAGAUUCCUGUAGAGGGGUUAUCAUGGUCAGUUUCAUCCUAAUGGCUCUUCCAUGGACUGUUUUUCUUCCAUGGAAUGUCUCCAUCUUUGCCUCCUGUCCAGCUUCUCGAUGACUUCUUAAUUAGAGGCGCAGGAUCCGAUCUGUCGUGCUCUGGUGAACAAAGGAGAAAUUGUUCGAGGUGGGACGCCGCUGAACCUGAACUGAAUGAUGGCACGGCUGAAGUAGUGGACCUGAACUGGAGCAGGUAACCGAACCGCAUCGAGCUCCAGAUACAGAACAGGUGUGUGAUCUAAAGAGGAAAAGAUACUCCUAGGUGUUUAGUCCGACUCAUCCGACAGCUUCACUGACAGCUCCAUUUUCUACCUGACUAUGAUGGUUUUCAGACAUUCAGGUCAUUUGAAAUAUGUCUACUUGGCACAGUCAGCUGUUACCUUCAGCUGUUAACCUCAAAGGUUGAGAGAUUAAGUCCACCUUGGGAUGAUGUGAGCAUCUUUUAGGGCUUUGGGCCAGUAAUUGGAGUUUGAAACCCACACUCUUAGAAAAAAGUUUAAGUUCAAGUUGAGUUUUUUGUUUGUUUGUUUUUUAAAUCAUUGAAUGGCACACAAGUGCAUGAAUUAUGAUGCUUUGUACAUUCAAGUGAGACACCUAACCAAAACUAGUAAGUCUAAUAAAUAUCAUGGAAAAAACUCU
Ictalurus punctatus (channel catfish) is the source of this 1377-nucleotide long non-coding RNA. NCBI's taxonomy places the organism in Eukaryota, Metazoa, Chordata, Actinopteri, Siluriformes, Ictaluridae. The record is from Ensembl.